UGAGUUUAGGGCAAGGUUCUUUGAUUCACUCUGGGCAUCGCAUGGGACACACAGCAAAAUUCUCAGGACGUUCGGUAACAAACUUUUACAAAGGGAAACUUUAGAAACUUACGGUAGAAUCAAGUACUUGACAAAUUUUAAACCAACAUCCAAAGUAAGGCAUGUCACAAACUUUAACUUAUCCAGACACAACAAGGCAUGCACAGGAAUUUUUUAGUCUGGCUUACAAUAUACUGCAAGACGAAGUUUGGAGAAGAAAGAGAGAGAGAAGCAUGUGCUGUAUGACAAUGUCUGUCAAAAAUGUACCUGGUUAGAUUUUAUAGGGACAGACAGAACCAGUCAAUUAAGUGCCUUGCAGUCACGCAGUGAAGGAGUUUAUGGGGGUUUAUGGUCUGUGGGUAAAAGCCAUUAAGCUCUCUGGGCCAUGAACCAGGUCUGAGCGUGGCACUGUACAAACCCGGCCUGUGUCCUGAGAGACACCACCUGUGAGUGGUGGUGGAGAUGGAAAUCAGAGCUUCUGAAGAUUUAAGGGAACUGCUGUUCUUGCUUUCUUAGCCACCACUGCACUUGAGCACCACUUCGUCCUCAAGGCCAUGUCACAGUUUCAGUUCCUUCAGUGUCGGGGUUGGUGUCACUGCCUAAAUGGGAGGUGCCUCUUGUGUUGGUGGUGCCCUCGGGGAGCACGUGCAGCACUGGGAUCUCAGGGGCUCUCUGAUGUCUCUUGCAGGGACUGGGCAAGUGCUUCGCUGUGAUGCCAUAGUUGAUCUAAUUCAUGGCAUCCAAAUUGUGUCCACCACGAGAGAGCUCUACCUUGAGGAUUCCCCCCUGCAGCUCAAAAUUCUGGCUUUGGAUUCGGAAGUGCCAGAUUAACCCAAAUUGGAAGUCAACUUCCCAGAAUCCCAUCUGAACACUCUCAGUAUGCUUCAUUUGUUUAAACUGCCAGGACAGCCAAACCUUUGGGAAGGCACCUUCUUCCCAGCUUCAAAUGUGUUUCACUGAAGGCCAGAGGCACAUCAUCAGUCAUCACAGAUUGCUUUUACCCCACUGGAAAUGCUCCCCUCGUUUGGUGUGAUGCCAGUUCCUACUGAGAGCUCCUCAAAGCCUCCCAGCAUGUUUAGGACUCGGGCAACCGAGUGCCAGUGGAAAGGAAUGAGGAGUCUAGAGCAGGACUCAGGACAGUAUUUCCAAAAUGCCAGCAGUUUACUGCUCCAAGAUGCAAGCUGUUGUGAACUGCAGGCCAUCAUCCUCUUCAUGGACACUCAACUCACAAACCUGCAUCAAUUCACAGCAAAAGAUGCAAUUUAACUCUGCCCAUUUGGAGGGUGUUCAAGGAUAAGGACAUGCAGAAAUGUGCUGAGGGGCAGAGCAUCUGGAGUCACAAAGAUGCACUUUUAAGAGAAUUUGGAAAGUUAAUAAAAUAUUUAGAUCCUUACAGCUAUCCUUACAGAUAGCUUUUUGCA
Chiroxiphia lanceolata (lance-tailed manakin) is the source of this 1460-nucleotide long non-coding RNA. RefSeq lists it as uncharacterized. The record is from RefSeq and is a predicted model, not a curated record. Lineage: Eukaryota; Metazoa; Chordata; Aves; Passeriformes; Pipridae. The transcript has 3 exons.